GUUUGUUUUGAAAGCUGAGAAUUAUGGGAGUCAUCUUAUAUGAAGGGCAGGUUGCCAGCAAAGUCCCACCUGCCAAACUGUUCAAGAAGUUUGUUCUUGAGAGCCUGACCCUCCUCCCCAAGGUCUUGCCCCAGGCUCUUGAAAGUGUAGUCAAUCUUCAGGGAGAUGGAGGGCCUGGUACCAUCAGACAAGUUCACUUCAGCAAUGG
Molecule: unclassified non-coding RNA, 208 nt
Filed under: Hevea brasiliensis (rubber tree)
Lineage: Eukaryota; Viridiplantae; Streptophyta; Magnoliopsida; Malpighiales; Euphorbiaceae
Source: RNAcentral